GACGAACGCUGGCGGCGUGCUUAACACAUGCAAGUCGAACGGAAAGGCCCUGCUUUUGUGGGGUGCUCGAGUGGCGAACGGGUGAGUAACACGUGAGUAACCUGCCCUUGACUUUGGGAUAACUUCAGGAAACUGGGGCUAAUACCGGAUAGGAUCUCCUGCUGCAUGGUGGGGGUUGGAAAGUUUCGGCGGUUGGGUAUGGACUCGCGGCUUAUCAGUUUGUUGGUGGGGUAGUGGCCUACCAAGGCUUUGACGGGUAGCCGGCCUGUGAGGGUGACCGGCCACAUUGGGACUGAGAUACGGCACAGACUCCUACGGGAGGCAGCAGUGGGGAAUAUUGCACAAUGGGCGGAAGCCUGAUGAAGCAACGCCGCGUGCGGGAUGACGGCCUUCGGGUUGUAAACCGCUUUCGCCUGUGACGAAGCGUGAGUGACGGUAAUGGGUAAAGAAGCACCGGCUAACUACGUG
Molecule: ribosomal RNA, 468 nt
Filed under: uncultured bacterium
Lineage: Bacteria
Description: partial 16S ribosomal RNA
Rfam family: Bacterial small subunit ribosomal RNA
Source: RNAcentral